RNAcentral lists this unclassified non-coding RNA (408 nucleotides) under Bombus terrestris (buff-tailed bumblebee). RNAcentral describes it as "misc RNA ENSBTSG00005032659.1". Lineage: Eukaryota; Metazoa; Arthropoda; Insecta; Hymenoptera; Apidae. The record is from RNAcentral.
AAAACUACUGUAAAGGAAAACCCAUCGAUCACGGCUUGACAUAUAAAUCGUUGAAAUUUCAACACGUCCAGGAAUUCCACUUUAGUGUAAUUAGCUCGUCUAUUGCUGGCCUAUCGAUCUGCCAAGACGCGCGUGUCAAUUAAGCCACUCGGACCAAGAGGACCCGCGUUGUAAGCCUAGUAACGUUACAAAAUUUCGUCAACUUUCUGUGGAUCUUGGUCAGGGCCCAAAUAUCAAUCACUUCGCCCAAAGUAGGUAAAUGUUCGGUGACUUAUCAACGAAAGUGUACAUAUCUAUAUAUGUAAUAACUAGAUCUUGGUAAGAAGAACGUGCGCACGAGAUACAGAAAUGUAGAAAAAUAUAUAUCGUGGAAGAAAAAAAGAAACAGAAGGAGAAGCUAGAAACAGG